RNAcentral lists this ribosomal RNA (221 nucleotides) under uncultured bacterium. RNAcentral describes it as "partial 16S ribosomal RNA". It matches the Rfam family "Bacterial small subunit ribosomal RNA", at positions 1277 to 1500 of the family's 1533-position model. The record is from RNAcentral.
UAAACGUCUCAGUUCGGAUUGUAGUCUGCAACUCGACUACAUGAAGCUGGAAUCGCUAGUAAUCGCGAAUCGGAAUGUCGCGGUGAAUACGUUCCCGGGUCUCGUACACACCGCCCGUCACACCAUGGGAGUUGGUAACGCCCGAAGUCAGUGACCCAACCGAAAGGAGGGAGCUGCCUAAGGCGGGACCGAUAACUGGGGUGAAGUCGUAACAAGGUAGC